Molecule: long non-coding RNA, 5710 nt
Filed under: Sus scrofa (pig)
Lineage: Eukaryota; Metazoa; Chordata; Mammalia; Artiodactyla; Suidae
Description: lncRNA (ENSSSCG00000061602.1)
Source: RNAcentral
CGGGCCUCGGGAGGAAAGGCCUUGAAAUAUAAAUGAAGAUGAAUAUUCAUAUUUGGCUCAAUAAGUGCCAGCUAUUAAUAUACAUGUCUGUCGGGAGGAGGAGGCGGCGCCGCGCCACCCUGCCUGCCUAACCGGGCUCCUAACGCACAACCAGCCUGGAGCGCCGCGCCUGGGCACAGCCCGAAGUGGGCUCUGAGCGGUGGCAGCAGCGGGGGCCAAGGCCCUGACCUCCCACCCCAUGCUUCUGCCCAAGCCCCCUCCCCACCGGGAGAAGGUGGCCUGCAGUGCCCGCUGCAGGCAUCACGCGGGCAUCACAGAACUGCCACCUUCAGGGGGACCCAGAGUCACCUCUGCAUCAAGCACACAGCUCCUAGCGGGGCUGCCAGCCCGGAGGGCUCAGGUGCAGCCAGGGCUCCACACCAGGAACCGCCUAGAGACGCAUGCGGAUAAAAGGCCGAAAGCUGCAGGGACUUGGCCGGAGUGGCUGCUCUCCCCGUGGAAGGCGGGCUUCCCGAGGCCCAGGUGCCAUGGCCGGGUCUCCACGCGCCGCCCCACCCGGUUCCUGGUGUCACUCAGCCUUUCUUUCUGGCCCUCUCGUGUGGCCCUAGACUCUGCCCAGACGUCUCCUCACACACAGCUGCCCCAGGCCUUCUCCACCGAUGAACCGUGGGCCGCCUGCAGUCGGCUGAGCACUGCCUGUCCUGCGACGGACCCCCGACUCGGAGACAAGGAGGAAGACCUCAGGGUCCAGGGGCCCUGGAGGAGUCAGCCCAGGGAGCACGUGUCUGAGUCCUGGGAGUGACACACCCGGGGUGGCUGUGUAGACCCCCCUUGAGCCAAGAGCGGGUGGGGCACCAGGUGGCCCCUGGGUCAAUGCCAGGAGGUCUGCUCCAGCCAGGGCCAGGGCCUGAGGUCCGCCACUGGGCCCCGGUUCAGACCCGUCAGGACUCAGCCCCGGGGGGACGGGAAGCGGGCGCUCAGCAGGCUGGCCUGGGGGUGAAUGCAGGGUCGGACGGAUGGACUGGAAGCUGGUCCAGGUACUUCUGCCUCGACAACAGCCAGGGGCAGGCUGGACGGUGAGGGGGUGCAGGUGCUGGGACAAGGCCCUGGGGCAGGGCCCCCCAAGGCCCGGCGUGAUCUGGGCCUGGAGCGCGGGGUGCUUUCACUGACCUGCGAGGCAGGCGCUCUGCGGGUGAGGCGGCUGAGGAGCAGAGAGGAGGCAGCGCACAAGCAGAGCCACCGCCCAGCCUGCUGUCCCAAGGUCUACAACGCGGCAAUGCCACUCGGUCCCGCAGCCAAAGGGGUGGCCUCCCACCGCCGGCAAGGGGGAGGGAUUUUAAAUGGAGUGUCUACUCCUCCCCUUCCUCUCUUUCCUCCCUCCCCUCCUCCCCCCUUCCUGUCCUUGCAGGUUUGCCCACAAGCCACUAGGGGAGGCCGAGCAGGUAGGUGUCUGCUCUGGGGGCGGGGGCGGGGGGAGGCCACGCUGGCCCAGAGCAGGUGUCCUGUCGGAGCCCGAGCAGGUCCACGUGGCAGGCGGGUCCAUCUCGGUGGGUGAGAGCACGGGAACAUGGGCAAGGAAGGUUCCUGGGACCGGGGUGUGCGGCGGGGGGCGGGGGGGCCUGAUUACAUACGGGGUUCCAAGUCAUAAAUGUAUAGAGGCUAACGGGAGCCCCGUUUCACACGGCCGGGGGUGGGGGUGACAAACAAGGAAGGGGAGAAAGUUAAAACUGGAGGCGUCGAUGGGAACGCACGGCUCUGAACAGAGACGGAGACGAAACGGGUGGCAGGAGACAAAAGCAAAGACCCAGAUGUGGACGUGAUCUGCCCAUCGCUGGACUCAUGUCCCCUCUUCCUUUGCUCAGCCCCCAGGCAGCCUGGGGACAGCGGCCGCCAGGAGCCGGGAGCUCACCUCACGCCACUUCUGCAUCGGAGGGUCGUCCUCUUUGCACGUCUCUUGGUCUCAGCCUACUUUCCACACAGCGUUUCCGCACGAAGGGACAAGGAGUGACGUCACAGCGGAGAAGCCCGGCAGACGCCGCCUGCACCCAGGGACCCAGGUGAGCGUAGGGCGCCUGGGGCGAGGGGCACCUGCCCCCGAGGAGGCGGUGAGAAGCCUACAGCGCGUCGGUCGUAUUUCCGCCCAGAGGGCACGGCCUGACCGGAAUCUUGAGACACAUCAGCCUCGAACUGAGGGACAUUUACCGAAGGCGCCGUCGAGGAGCGGCUGCGGAAGCGCUUCCAGAGGAAGGCGAUGAAGUGAACACGACUAAAGGAGACGCGCCUCUGGGCGGCUGUCCCCCCCCCAGCCUGUCCCCCAGGCUGAGGCUCAGACUUCUCCCCUCUUUCCAGCCUCUGCCCUCUGCCCGCCCCGCCCCACCAUCCGCAGCCCCGUCGCUCUGGCUCCCCAGGCACCAGGCUCCUGCGAGCCCCGGGCUUCAUCACACGGGCCCUGCUCCCACCGGGGUUCAGGGUUCCCUCUCCCCGAUCCCUUUACUCGCAUCCUUCCUACACGUCAAGGCCUGGUUUCCUCACUCCUCAGGAAGCCCCAUCAGACGACCCCGCUGGGCCCCGUCUUCCUCGGCUCCAGGGCGGGGUGGAACGCCCCCAACCCCACGAGUCGGGACAGCAGGGAGGAACCCUGCCUGGCUCAGUACAGGCGUAUAGGGUGUGGGGGUGUUCCAGGGCAGGGAGUGAGCCCCCCCAAGAUGCUGGUGUUGCCCCACGUGAUACAAUGGCCGUCCAGCAGGGGCAGGUGCCCCCAAGCCCUCAGGCCCUAGGCCCCUGCCCCUCGUGCCACAGCGCCCUCUCACCUGCCUGCUCAGCCCCUUUGCUCUGUCAGGCACCCUGGGAGCCCCGCCCAGAACGGUUCAGUAUCUGGUUUCUGUCUGCUGCCCUGGGUGCAACAACUCUGCUAGAGCAUGUCUCUGUCUCCCGGGUCUCGGGAGCUGGACUCGGUCUGCAGAGGCCGAACUGGCUCCCUGGCUCCGGCUCUGACCUCCCCCAGCCGAGCUGCUGAGGGCCUCUCCAAACAAGGUCACACCCUGGCAACCGAGAGCCAGUCAAGCUCCCUCCAUCAAGACUUUAACUAGAAAAAUAGUGUGCCCAUUUCUCUGUAAUACACCUCUGGGCUUUUUUAUUAUGACUUCAUUUCCCCUUGUAAUAUUGGAACGUCUCUAUAAUUGUAAAAGUGUAAUAGAAUCUAAUAGAAUUUCAUUUGGCGCCCGGAAUGCUCCGUGCCACGACCGCUCAUUCCGAGUGAAAUAAUGAUGUCUAAUGCCCACACACGGCGCCCCGUGACCUUAUUCAGUCUUGGGGCUGAUCGGGAAAUAUAUUGAUUCAAUUAUACACUGAUGACAGAUGAACUCAAAGAAAGAGGAAAAAAAGGUCAGCAUGUAUUUGAAAAUGUAAAUCUUAGCAAUGUCUUUGGGGUUCACCCCCCCAAAAAAGCCAUUUCAAAAUGCCAUUUGUGGUAAUAGUAAGGAGUCCCCGGCUCCAGGAGGGAGACUCAUCGGGGGGCAGCUGGAAAGGGGUGAACACUGUGUCGCUCCCUUCCAGUGGGGAUCAGACCCAAAUCCGCCCUGAGGGGCUCCACCGCCCGACCUCUCCCGGCACAGCCUCUUCCCCGCAGGCUAGGAUGCCACCCACAGCCAGGUAGUGGGGACAAGGAGGGGCCAGACAGGAAGGCGGACGCCAAGAGGGCUGGACCGUGGGCAUCGGGCGAGGGAAGAGCCUGGAAGAGCAGAAGAGCCGUCGCGUCAGACUGUCCAAUCCUAGAGCUCAGAGAUAUAUCAGACUCCAAGGCACAGUCACCUAAUUUCUCCAGUUAAAUUUUUCUACAUCAGGACUGUCUUACAGCAAAGAACACAAAUACGAAGCACGGCUCGAUGAGAUUUUUACAAAUGUGUAUCUACCUGGGGCCAGCACCCAAGUGGACAGAGAGAAUAUAGUCGGCCCUCUGUAUGCACGGCCUCUGCAUCUGUAGAUUCAAACUAUUCGAGCCUUGCAAAUAUUUGGAAACAUGCAAUUCCAGAAAGUUCCAAAGAGCAAAAUUUGAACUUGCCACACGCUGACAAGUAUUUACAUUGAGCAUGUACGGCGACUUAUUCAGCAUUUACAUUUUAUCAGGCAUAAAAAGUCAUCCAGAGACGACUUAACGUACAUGGGAGAAUGUGCACAGGUUAUGCAAAUGCCGCCCCCUUUUCUAUAAGGGACGUGAGCAUCCCUGGCUGCUGGCGUGAAGGGGGGGUCCUAGAACAACCCCUUGCACAUGGGGAGGGACGUUUUUCCAGUCCCCCAGGGGCCUUCCUCCUGACGCCUCAAAACCAGCAGCCCUGCAUCCGGGCAGGGAACCGCUGCCCCGGCCUCCACCCCACGCAUGUGCGCUGCCUGCCCCGCACUGAUACAAACGGAAUCACAAAGGCUGUUCUUCUCCGCUCCUCUGGCGUCGUGUCGGAGACGCACCCGUGCUGCGCGUACCAGCCGUGAUUCGCAUGAGGACUGCGACGCGACUAGGCCGGCGGACGUGAAGCAAAGCUGUCUUGAUAAUCAGUGGGGACCAUGAUGGUUCUUCUGUGACGUUUCGACGUUUUUAUUUUUAUUUUUUUGCUUUCUAGGGCCACAUUCGCGGCACAUGGAAGUUCCCAGGCCAGGCCAGGGGUCAAAGUGGAGCUAGAGCUGCCAGGCUGCACCACAGCCACAGCAACACGGGCUCCAAGCCGUGUCUGCGACCUACACCACAGCUCACGGCAACGCCGGAUCCUUAACCCACCAGGCGAGGCCAGGGAUCCAACUGCAUCUUCGCGGAUAUGAGUCGGAUGUGUUUCUGCUGCAGGAACUCUUGACUUUUCAAAGUUUUAAUCAAAACAUUAAAGACUCUCUUGCUGUUGGUUAUAAAUGCAGAGGGAAAUGGAAAAACAGCAGCACUAAUACGCACCUAGUGCCCUGUCGCUGAAGCACUAAAAGUCAGAGUGCUGCACGUCUUUCUGAAGAAGCUCGUCGAGCUCUCCUUCCCCGCCGGUGCCUCUUUCCUGGGCCUCGGCAAACGGCCCUGCUGUUUCCCGGGCUGGCUCAGCUUCUAACGCUGCUCUUUCCGCACAGUGAAAUAGCUCAGGAAGUUUCUCCAUCAACGUUUUCUGCAAGCUCCUCUUUGGGACGCGGCAUCCCUUCUGUCGCCACCGCAUUCCUCACCGAGUGCCUGCGGCUGCACGCGCAGCACCCAGCGGUGGCCUCGUCGCAUCUGCGCGAGGCGCUCUCUCUUCUGCAGCCGCGCGUACGUCUGAUUCAAAUUGCACUUCGAUCAUCAUUGACCUUCACUUCUUUGUUGUACUUUCACCUCUGUGACUAAUACCUUCUUCCACUUGUUGACUUUUGUCAGGUGUUGCUUGUGUUUAGAACUUGGAGAGGAGGCGGCGGCACAGCUGGGCACGCCGCUGUCCACUGGUGACAUGAACAGCAGUGUCCAGUGGCUAAUCACCCGCAGACUCCCAAAGAAGCGACACGAUGGGUCACAGAUCACAGUGUGCACCUGCUAUUUACACAGCGAUCUGAAGAGCUAGCAGAGAAGUCUGUGGUUUACGUAGUUACAGUUAAUACAACAUGGUAAGUAAGAUUUGAACUGUUUAUUAGGAAACUAGUAUUAUCUAACUAUGUAAACUGAAACCUGUGCGUAUUGGACCCAUGUAAAAUGAAGACUGCUUAUAUAAACAGUGGG